This 599-nucleotide ribosomal RNA is filed under the name Saccharomyces cerevisiae (brewer's yeast). RNAcentral's name for it is "eukaryotic LSU rRNA". It matches the Rfam family "Eukaryotic large subunit ribosomal RNA", at positions 71 to 664 of the family's 3401-position model. Lineage: Eukaryota; Fungi; Ascomycota; Saccharomycetes; Saccharomycetales; Saccharomycetaceae. The record is from RNAcentral.
GGGAUUGCCUUAGUAACGGCGAGUGAAGCGGCAAAAGCUCAAAUUUGAAAUCUGGUACCUUCGGUGCCCGAGUUGUAAUUUGGAGAGGGCAACUUUGGGGCCGUUCCUUGUCUAUGUUCCUUGGAACAGGACGUCAUAGAGGGUGAGAAUCCCGUGUGGCGAGGAGUGCGGUUCUUUGUAAAGUGCCUUCGAAGAGUCGAGUUGUUUGGGAAUGCAGCUCUAAGUGGGUGGUAAAUUCCAUCUAAAGCUAAAUAUUGGCGAGAGACCGAUAGCGAACAAGUACAGUGAUGGAAAGAUGAAAAGAACUUUGAAAAGAGAGUGAAAAAGUACGUGAAAUUGUUGAAAGGGAAGGGCAUUUGAUCAGACAUGGUGUUUUGUGCCCUCUGCUCCUUGUGGGUAGGGGAAUCUCGCAUUUCACUGGGCCAGCAUCAGUUUUGGUGGCAGGAUAAAUCCAUAGGAAUGUAGCUUGCCUCGGUAAGUAUUAUAGCCUGUGGGAAUACUGCCAGCUGGGACUGAGGACUGCGACGUAAGUCAAGGAUGCUGGCAUAAUGGUUAUAUGCCGCCCGUCUUGAAACACGGACCUCCUGUGUGAAGUGAUC